This 65-nucleotide transfer RNA is filed under the name Dipodomys ordii (Ord's kangaroo rat). It matches the Rfam family "tRNA". From Rfam's summary of the family: Transfer RNA (tRNA) molecules are approximately 80 nucleotides in length. Their secondary structure includes four short double-helical elements and three loops (D, anti-codon, and T loops). The record is from Rfam by way of RNAcentral. Lineage: Eukaryota; Metazoa; Chordata; Mammalia; Rodentia; Heteromyidae.
GGUGGCUCAGUGGUAGAGUGCUUGCCUUGCAGGCAUAAGGCCCUAGGUUCGAUUCCUCAGCACCA